This 67-nucleotide transfer RNA is filed under the name Epermenia illigerella. RNAcentral's name for it is "tRNA-Met". Lineage: Eukaryota; Metazoa; Arthropoda; Insecta; Lepidoptera; Epermeniidae. The record is from RNAcentral.
UUAAAAAUAAGCUAAAUAAAGCUUUUGGGUUCAUACCCCAAAUAUAAAGAUUAAUCUUUUUUUUAAA